UACGUAGGGUGCAAGCGUUAAUCGGAAUUACCGGGCGUAAAGCGUGCGCAGGCGGUUUUGUAAGACAGGCGUGAAAUCCCCGGGCUCAACCUGGGAAUGGCGCUUGUGACUGCAAAGCUGGAGUGCGGCAGAGGGGGGAUGGGAAUUCCGCGUGUAGCAGUGAAAUGCGUAGAUAUGCGGAGGAACACCAAUGGCGAAGGCAAUCCCCUGGGCCUGCACUGACGCUCAUGCACGAAAGCGUGGGGAGCGAAAC
This 253-nucleotide ribosomal RNA is filed under the name uncultured bacterium. Its description in RNAcentral is "partial 16S ribosomal RNA". It matches the Rfam family "Bacterial small subunit ribosomal RNA", at positions 524 to 774 of the family's 1533-position model. The record is from RNAcentral.